Molecule: ribosomal RNA, 333 nt
Filed under: Triticum aestivum (bread wheat)
Lineage: Eukaryota; Viridiplantae; Streptophyta; Magnoliopsida; Poales; Poaceae
Description: partial small subunit ribosomal RNA
Source: RNAcentral
AUGUGGAAAGAUCCGGGCCAAAAACGUAAACUUGGGGAGAUUGGUCCUGCUCUAGGGCAGGUAAUGACCUCCUUGCAUCAAUGGAGCAGGGCCAAAACUAGCAAUAUCACUAGGGAGAUUGAGAAGUCUCGUAUGAGGCUAGAGGAGCUAAUGAAUAUGAAUGUGGACCAAGCUGAACUGAGAAAGGAGGAGGAUAAAAUGAAUGAAUUAUUAUACUGGGAAGAGAUGAUGUGGUUGCAAAGGUCUCGUACUGCUUGGUUAAAAGAAGGGGACCAAAAUACAAAAAAAAAUCCAUGCCAAGGCGAUUUGGCGGGCGAGGAAAAACAAUAUUAA